CUACGGGCGGCUCCAGUGGGGAAUAUUGGACAAUGGGGGAAACCCUGAUCCAGCAAUGCCGCGUGUGUGAAGAAGGCCUGCGGGUUGUAAAGCACUUUCGGUUGGGAGGACUGCUUCUAGCACUAAUAUUGUUGGAAGUUGACGUUACCUUCAGAAGAAGCACCGGCUAACUCCGUGCCAGCAGCCGCGGUAAUACGGAGGGUGCAAGCGUUAAUCGGAAUUACUGGGCGUAAAGCGCGCGUAGGCGGCUAGAUCAGUCGGGUGUGAAAGCCCCGGGCUUAACCUGGGAACUGCAUCCGAUACUGGCUAGCUUGAGUACAGGAGAGGAGAGUGGAAUACCACAUGUAGCGGUGAAAUGCGUAGAUAUGUGGAGGAACACCAAUGGCGAAGGCAGCUCUCUGGCCUGAUACUGACGCUGAGGUGCGAAAGCGUGGGAGCAAACAGGAUUAGAUACCCCCGUAGUC
RNAcentral lists this ribosomal RNA (464 nucleotides) under uncultured bacterium. RNAcentral describes it as "partial 16S ribosomal RNA". It matches the Rfam family "Bacterial small subunit ribosomal RNA", at positions 339 to 795 of the family's 1533-position model. The record is from RNAcentral.